This 253-nucleotide ribosomal RNA is filed under the name uncultured bacterium. RNAcentral describes it as "partial 16S ribosomal RNA". It matches the Rfam family "Bacterial small subunit ribosomal RNA", at positions 524 to 776 of the family's 1533-position model. The record is from RNAcentral.
UACGGAGGGUGCAAGCGUUAUCCGGAUUCACUGGGUUUAAAGGGUGCGUAGGUGGGCAAGUAAGUCAGUGGUGAAAUCUCCGGGCUUAACUCGGAACGGUCAAGUGAUACUGUCGGACUAGAGUACAGAAGGGGCAACUGGAAUUCUCGGUGUAGCGGUGAAAUGCGUAGAUAUCGAGAGGAACACCUGCGGCGAAGGCGGGUUGCUGGGCUGAUACUGACGCUGAGGCGCGAAAGCCAGGGGAGCGAACGGG